AUGGCGGAAGAACCUCCGGUGAAGAGGACCAAGACGGAGGAGGACCUUGGUGCGGGGUCAGAGCCAGACGCCGCGGCGGCGGCGGCGGCGGAACGGGAGAGGCCGGGCGGCGAGGUGACCGUCAAGAUACAGUCCAAAGCUCUCCGCUGCCGGAUCUGCUCCGAGCCCCUCAAGCCGCCCAUCUUCAAGUGUGCGGCUGGGCACGUUUUGUGUUCUCAGUGCCCGGAAAAGCUCCGUGAGGUUGGGCACGUUUUGAGGCUGGGUACAUUCUGCGCUCUGUGUUGCAAAAGCACUAGCUAUUCCCGCUGCGUCGAGCUCGAGCAGUUCAUCGACGCCAUGAAAGUGCCAUGCUCGAACCAAACAUACGGCUGCAACGAGUUCGUCGGCUACCAGCAGAAAGAGAAGCAUGAGAGUUCAUGCCCACAUGCUCCAUGCUACUGCCCAGAGGAUGACUGCGCCUUCAAAGCGCCGGCAUGUUGCCUGCUGGACCACUUCGUCACCGCGCACGGAUGGUCGCCGACCAACUUGGGUUACAACAAGCCACUGAAGAUCCUCUUGGCACGAGACCGCCGGUUCACGCUUCUGGUUGGGGAGGACAUGUCCUUGUUCCUCCUGAUCAACACCCUGACCAGCAUCGGCAGUGCUCUCGCCGUGGUCUGCGUCAGGCCCCACGAGUCUGAACCGAGCUAUUCGUGCAACAUCUCUGCUGCUGCUCAUGGUGUCGCUGGUGGGAAAACCGAUGGGAGGCUCGUGUUCCAGAAGGAUCCUCACGUGUCAAGCAGCUCGCUGGCGGGUGGAGUUCAGAUGGGCAACUUCUUCCUGCUGGUUCCUCUGGAAUUCGCCGAGACCUCAUCUGGUGAACUCACUGUACACAUCCGCAUCGACAGAGUGGCGCCAUAG
Molecule: ribosomal RNA, 900 nt
Filed under: Triticum aestivum (bread wheat)
Lineage: Eukaryota; Viridiplantae; Streptophyta; Magnoliopsida; Poales; Poaceae
Description: partial small subunit ribosomal RNA
Source: RNAcentral